AACGAACGCUGGCGGCAUGCCUAACACAUGCAAGUCGAACGAGACCUUCGGGUCUAGUGGCGCACGGGUGCGUAACGCGUGGGAACCUGCCCUUAGGUUCGGAAUAACUCCCCGAAAGGGGUGCUAAUACCGGAUAAUGUCUUCGGACCAAAGAUUUAUCGCCCUUGGAUGGGCCCGCGUUGGAUUAGCUAGUUGGUAGGGUAAAAGCCUACCAAGGCGACGAUCCAUAGCUGGUCUGAGAGGAUGAUCAGCCACACUGGGACUGAGACACGGCCCAGACUCCUACGGGAGGCAGCAGUGGGGAAUAUUGGACAAUGGGCGAAAGCCUGAUCCAGCAAUGCCGCGUGAGUGAUGAAGGCCUUAGGGUUGUAAAGCUCUUUUACCCGGGAUGAUAAUGACAGUACCGGGAGAAUAAGCUCCGGCUAACUCCGU
This 432-nucleotide ribosomal RNA is filed under the name uncultured bacterium. Its description in RNAcentral is "partial 16S ribosomal RNA". It matches the Rfam family "Bacterial small subunit ribosomal RNA", at positions 29 to 506 of the family's 1533-position model. The record is from RNAcentral.